This 252-nucleotide ribosomal RNA is filed under the name uncultured bacterium. Its description in RNAcentral is "partial 16S ribosomal RNA". It matches the Rfam family "Bacterial small subunit ribosomal RNA", at positions 524 to 775 of the family's 1533-position model. The record is from RNAcentral.
UACGUAGGGUGCAAGCGUUAAUCGGGAUUACUGGGCGUAAAGCGUGCGCAGGCGGUUCGGAAAGAAAGAUGUGAAAUCCCAGAGCUUAACUUUGGAACUGCAUUUUUAACUACCGGGCUAGAGUGUGUCAGAGGGAGGUGGAAUUCCGCGUGUAGCAGUGAAAUGCGUAGAUAUGCGGAGGAACACCGAUGGCGAAGGCAGCCUCCUGGGAUAACACUGACGCUCAUGCACGAAAGCGUGGGGAGCAAACAG